AGCGAACGCUGGCGGCAGGCCUAACACAUGCAAGUCGAGCGCCCAGCAAUGGGAGCGGCAGACGGGAUAGUAACACGUGGGAACGUACCCUUCAGUUCGGAACAACCCAGGGAAACUUGGGCUAAUACCGAAUACGUCCGUAAGGAGAAAGAUUUAUCGCUGAAGGAUCGGCCCGCGUCUGAUUAGCUAGUUGGUGAGGUAAUGGCUCACCAAGGCGACGAUCAGUAGCUGGCUGAGAGGAUGAUCAGCAUCACUGGGACUGAGACACGGCCCAGACUCCUACGGGAGGCAGCAGUGGGGAAUAUUGGACAAUGGGCGCAAGCCUGAUCCAGCCAUGCCGCGUGGAUGAUGAAGGCCCUAGGGUUGUAAAGUCCUUUCGACGGGGAAGAUAAUGACGGUACCCGUAGAAGAAGCCCCGGCUAACUUCGUGCCAGCAGCCGCUGUAAU
RNAcentral lists this ribosomal RNA (447 nucleotides) under uncultured bacterium. Its description in RNAcentral is "bacterial SSU rRNA". It matches the Rfam family "Bacterial small subunit ribosomal RNA", at positions 29 to 524 of the family's 1533-position model. The record is from RNAcentral.